Molecule: long non-coding RNA, 836 nt
Organism: Myotis daubentonii (Daubenton's bat)
Lineage: Eukaryota; Metazoa; Chordata; Mammalia; Chiroptera; Vespertilionidae
Exons: 2
Source: RefSeq, a predicted model, not a curated record
GGGCGGGUGGAAGGAGUAAAAAGAUUUCACAACUUUCCCAUAAACCAUUGUGUGCACAUCACCUACUUCAGAGUUGAAUAGAAUCUUGACUCUUGUUCUAGAUCUAGACCUACCCAUUCUCAUCAGUCUAACCCAGGGACCUGCCCCCAAAUGGGAGGAUCCAUAAUUCAGGGAAAGCAGGCCUCUAGCAGGCCGGUACUGAAGAAUGAAGGGUGAGCAAAGGUCUCAGUGACACCUUUCAAACGUUUUUGUCAGCUACUCACCUGCAUUUAAUGUGCACCACUUUCCUUGUAACCCCUCUGCUCCCUUAUCUACCAACACUUUUUCCUAAUUGUUCCAUUUUUAUUUUUAAUGAUUUGAGAGAGGAGAGACAGAAUGAGAGAAAGAUCCAUUUGUUUCACUUAUUUACACAUUCAUUGGUUGAUUCAUGUGUGUGCUCUGACAGGCUUGAAAACGCAACCUUGGUGUACCGGGAUGAUGCUCUAAACAACUGAGCUACCUCCAUGGCCUAAUUGUUGCAUGUUUCUAAAGACACUGCAGCCUGACACAGCCCCUUUGCCUUCAUCAUUGGUGUUCUUAAAACCUAACUAGGUCCUUAAGAACAGGAAGUUAACAUCUUUCUAUGGGCAACCAAUUCCCUGUAGGUUUGCUAACAUUACUGGUUCUGAUGGAAAGUUCCCUGUGAGAUUUGUGAGGAGAACCUGCCCUUUCCUGGGGUUCCUACUCUCUGGGCAUUCUCAGCCCUGGAGCAAGGGUUUCCCUUUCCUUUGGAAGCACUGAGCUGAAUAUGCAAAUUGCCAUGUGAUUUUGCGGAAGGAAGACAGACAGGUCACAAA